This 501-nucleotide ribosomal RNA is filed under the name uncultured bacterium. Its description in RNAcentral is "partial 16S ribosomal RNA". It matches the Rfam family "Bacterial small subunit ribosomal RNA", at positions 30 to 523 of the family's 1533-position model. The record is from RNAcentral.
AUUGAACGCUGGCGGCAGGCUUAACACAUGCAAGUCGAGCGGGGGAAGGUAGCUUGCUACCGGACCUAGCGGCGGACGGGUGAGUAAUGCUUAGGAAUCUGCCUAUUAGUGGGGGACAACAUCUCGAAAGGGAAGCUAAUACCGCAUACGUCCUACGGGAGAUAGCAGGGGAUCUUCGGACCUUGCGCUCAUAGAUGAGCCUAGGUCGGAUUAGCUAGUUGGUGGGGUAAAGGCCUACCAAGGCGACGAUCUGUAGCGGGUCUGAGAGGAUGAUCCGCCACACUGGGACUGAGACACGGCCCAGACUCCUACGGGAGGCAGCAGUGGGGAAUAUUGGACAAUGGGGGGAACCCUGAUCCAGCCAUGCCGCGUGUGUGAAGAAGGCCUUAUGGUUGUAAAGCACUUUAAGCGAGGAGGAGGCUACUCUAGUUAAUACCUAGGGAUAGUGGACGUUACUCGCAGAAUAAGCACCGGCUAACUCUGUGCCAGCCGCCGCCGUAA